ACUCCUACGGGAGGCAGCAGUGGGGAAUAUUGCACAAUGGGCGCAAGCCUGAUGCAGCCAUGCCGCGUGUAUGAAGAAGGCCUUCGGGUUGUAAAGUACUUUCAGCAGUUAGGAGGAGGGUGGUGUUAUAGCAUACUCAUUUGACGUUAGCUGCAGAAGAAGCACCGGCUAACUCCGUGCCAGCAGCCGCGGUAAUACGGAGGGUGCGAGCGUUAAUCGGAAUUACUGGGCGUAAAGCGCAUGCAGGUGGUUUGUUAAGUCAGAUGUGAAAGCCCGGGGCUCAACCUCGGAAUUGCAUUUGAAACUGGCAAACUAGAGUACUGUAGAGGGGGGUAGAAUUUCAGGUGUAGCGGUGAAAUGCGUAGAGAUCUGAAGGAAUACCGGUGGCGAAGGCGGCCCCCUGGACAGAUACUGACACUCAGAUGCGAAAGCGUGGGGAGCAAACAGGAUUAGAUACCCUGGUAGGAUAGCGU
This 473-nucleotide ribosomal RNA is filed under the name uncultured bacterium. RNAcentral describes it as "bacterial SSU rRNA". It matches the Rfam family "Bacterial small subunit ribosomal RNA", at positions 335 to 800 of the family's 1533-position model. The record is from RNAcentral.